ACUAGGGAUCGGACGAUGUUACAUUUUUGACGCGUUCGGCACCUUACGAGAAAUCAAAGUGCUUGGGCUCCAGGGGGAGUAUGGUCGCAAGGCUGAAACUUAAAGAAAUUGACGGAAGGGCACCACCAGGGGUGGAGCCUGCGGCUUAAUUUGACUCAACACGGGGAAACUCACCAGGUCCAGACACAAUGAGGAUUGACAGAUUGAGAGCUCUUUCUUGAUUUUGUGG
Molecule: ribosomal RNA, 229 nt
Filed under: uncultured fungus
Lineage: Eukaryota; Fungi
Description: partial 18S ribosomal RNA
Rfam family: Eukaryotic small subunit ribosomal RNA
Source: RNAcentral